UACGUAGGGUGCGAGCGUUAAUCGGAAUUACUGGGCGUAAAGCGCGCGCAGGCGGUCUUCCAAGUCAGUGGUGAAAGCCCGGAGCUCAACUCCGGAACUGCCAUUGAAACUGUUGGACUUGAGUACGAGAGAGGUGAGUGGAAUUCCCAGUGUAGAGGUGAAAUUCGUAGAUAUUGGGAAGAACACCGGUGGCGAAGGCGGCUCACUGGCUCGUAACUGACGCUCAGGCGCGACAGCGUGGGGAUCAAACAGG
Molecule: ribosomal RNA, 253 nt
Filed under: uncultured bacterium
Lineage: Bacteria
Description: partial 16S ribosomal RNA
Rfam family: Bacterial small subunit ribosomal RNA
Source: RNAcentral